UGGAGAAGGGGAGCACGUGCAGGAUUGAAGCAAUUCAAAAACUUGCACGUGCCCUGCUUCUCCAAC
Molecule: microRNA precursor, 66 nt
Organism: Ipomoea nil (Japanese morning glory)
Lineage: Eukaryota; Viridiplantae; Streptophyta; Magnoliopsida; Solanales; Convolvulaceae
Rfam family: MIR164 microRNA precursor family
Source: Rfam